CACAAGGGGUGAAGCCUGCGGUUCAAUUGGAGUCAACGCCAGGAAACUUACCAGGAGAGACAGCAGGUUGAGGGUCAGUCUGAAGAACUUACCUGACAAGCUGAGAGGAGGUGCAUGGCCGUCGCCAGCUCGUGCCGUGAGGCGUCCUGUUAAGUCAGGCAACGAGCGAGACCCCUAUCGGUAAUUGCUAACUGCCCAGAGAUGGGCAGAGGCUAGUUACAGAGACUGCCGUUGAUAAAACGGAGGAAGGAAGGGGCCACGGCAGGUCAGUAUGCCCCGAAACUCCUGGGCCACACGCGGGCUGCAAUGGUAGGGACAAUAGGUUCCGACCUCGAAAGAGGAAGGCAAUCCCCAAACCCUACCCCAGUUGUGAUCGAGGAUUGAAACCCGUCCUCGUGAAUAUGGAAUCCCUAGUAACCGCGUGUCAUCACCGCGCGGUGAAUACGUCCCUGCUCC
RNAcentral lists this ribosomal RNA (456 nucleotides) under uncultured archaeon. RNAcentral describes it as "bacterial SSU rRNA". It matches the Rfam family "Archaeal small subunit ribosomal RNA", at positions 880 to 1336 of the family's 1478-position model. The record is from RNAcentral.